Molecule: ribosomal RNA, 450 nt
Filed under: uncultured bacterium
Lineage: Bacteria
Description: partial 16S ribosomal RNA
Rfam family: Bacterial small subunit ribosomal RNA
Source: RNAcentral
AUGAAUGCUGGCGGCGUGCCUAACACAUGCAAGUCGAGCGGCAGCGAGGGGUGCUUGCACCCUGUCGGCGAGCGGCGAACGGCUGAGUAACGCGUAGGAAUUUGUCCCAAAGUGAGGAAUAACUGCCCGAAAGGGUAGCUAAUGCCGCAUAUGGUCUUCGGAUUAAAGGAUUUAUCCGCUUUGGGAGAAGCCUGCGUUGGAUUAGGUUGUUGGUAGGGUAAUGGCCUACCAAGCCGACGAUCCAUAGCUGGUCUGAGAGGAUGAUCAGCCAGACUGGAACUGAGACACGGUCCAGACUCCUACGGGAAGCAGCAGUGAGGAAUCUUCCACAAUGGGCGAAAGCCUGAUGGAGCAACGCCGCGUGAAGGAUGAAGGCCUUCGGGUUGUAAACUUCUUUUAUGAGUGAAGAAUAUGACGGUAACUCAUGAAUAAGCACCGGCUAACUACGUG